RNAcentral lists this ribosomal RNA (745 nucleotides) under uncultured bacterium. RNAcentral's name for it is "bacterial SSU rRNA". It matches the Rfam family "Bacterial small subunit ribosomal RNA", at positions 8 to 796 of the family's 1533-position model. The record is from RNAcentral.
AGAGUUUGAUCAUGGCUCAGAACGAACGCUGGCGGCAGGCUUAACACAUGCAAGUCGAACGGUCUCUUCGGAGGCAGUGGCAGACGGGUGAGUAACGCGUGGGAAUCUACCUAGUUCUACGGAACAACAGAGGGAAACUUCUGCUAAUACCGUAUACGCCCUACGGGGGAAAGAUUUAUCGGAAUUAGAUGAGCCCGCGUAAGAUUAGCUAGUUGGUGGGGUAAUGGCCUACCAAGGCGACGAUCUUUAGCUGGUCUGAGAGGGAUGAUCAGCCCACACUGGGACUGAGACACGGCCCCAGACUCCUACGGGAGGCAGCAGUGGGGAAUAUUGGACAAUGGGCGCAAGCCUGAUCCAGCCAUGCCGCGUGAGUGAUGAAGGCCUUAGGGUUGUAAAGCUCUUUCAGUGGGGAAGAUAAUGACGGUACCCACAGAAGAAGCCCCGGCUAACUUCGUGCCAGCAGCCGCGGUAAUACGAAGGGGGCUAGCGUUGUUCGGAUUUACUGGGCGUAAAGCGCACGUAGGCGGAUCGUUAAGUCAGGGGUGAAAUCCUGGAGCUCAACUCCAGAACUGCCUUUGAUACUGGCGAUCUCGAGUCCGGAAGAGGUGAGUGGAACUCCUAGUGUAGAGGUGGAAUUCGUAGAUAUUAGGAAGAACACCAGUGGCGAAGGCGGCUCACUGGUCCGGUACUGACGCUGAGGUGCGAAAGCGUGGGGAGCAAACAGGAUUAGAUACCCUAGUAGUCC